GGCACCGUUAACGGAGUAUAAAAAGUGCCCCAGGAAUGCAUUUCCGACAGAGCCGCCGCGCCCUCCAAGUCUCAAGUGCAAAGCGUGACUGAACUCCUGCUUGCCAAGUCGACACCAAUGAUGAAUUUGUUCCACCUGUUGGUCGUGGUGAUCGCUGCCAUGUUCGGCACCGCGCACGCCCUUCCCGAACCCGACCCCAUGGCGGAUGCUGGGCACGACCUGGUGGUACGAGGAUAUGUGCAGCCUCCUCGCUUUCACUACCGAGGCUUCCACAGGCCUUACCCCAAGUACGACUGGGAGUAAGAGGUUUCAACACGGACGUUCCUUCUGCAGUGGACACCCAGUCUAUCCUCCUCAUCCUCUUCUAUGAUAGAUGAAAUAUGAUAAACUUAUUCUUAGGACGUCGCAGCAGGAUGUGUGAUGUGAGGUUUUUGUUGUGGCUCUUUGUAUUCAGGAUUUGAGGUUGGAGGGUCGUAAGUGGCAAGGAUUUGAGGAUAUUUAUUGGCAGGUUUCGUAGGAUAUGAAAAAUUUUGGAUAGUUUUUUUUAAAAAUGUUACUUUGUGGAGGAUCUUGCUAAUUUUCAAGAGUGAUUUUGGUUCUGUAGGAUAUGGAAAGUAUUGAUUUUUUGGACAGAUAUUUGAUUUUUUUUAUAGAUGGUUUCUGCUAGUCUUCUCGAGUCUCGAAAUGGAAAGAAAAAAAUAUAUAUACAUAUAGGAAGAAGUCAACGACGCUAUUUAUUACUCUAUAAAAUCAUGUCCCUGAAAUGCUGCUGUAUCGUCCGUGUAAACUUUCACACAACUGUAACUGUAUUACAUAUGGACAUGCUGUAAUUUGCAGUCCAUACGAAGGAUUGAAAAAUAAAAUGAAACACUCCCAAGC
This is a long non-coding RNA of Penaeus monodon (black tiger shrimp), 879 nucleotides long. RefSeq lists it as uncharacterized. Lineage: Eukaryota; Metazoa; Arthropoda; Malacostraca; Decapoda; Penaeidae. The record is from RefSeq and is a predicted model, not a curated record. The transcript is spliced from 2 exons.